Long non-coding RNA from Branchiostoma floridae (Florida lancelet), 467 nucleotides. RefSeq lists it as uncharacterized. The transcript is spliced from 2 exons. The record is from RefSeq and is a predicted model, not a curated record. Lineage: Eukaryota; Metazoa; Chordata; Leptocardii; Amphioxiformes; Branchiostomatidae.
GACCCCGCUGGGAGGCUACCAUAACUUCCGAACCGACAGUCCUCACACAGAAAGGGACUGUGUGGUACUGCGGAGGACUCGGCGCGAGUCGCAUUGGGACCCCGUGGACUGCGGUGUGAGGCGGCCCUACAUCUGCCAGUUCGACUACAUUGUGGACAAGUAAGAUGAUGCGAUGCACGUGACGUCAGCCGAACAACCUUAUGACGUCAGGACAACGAUACAACAGCACCAGAAUGUUGUCAAAGCUACACAAGUAAUAAAAGAGGCUUGAAUAGAAUAUAGAAUAACGUGGGAUUAUACUACACAUUUUGAUUCAAUACGAAAUAAUACAACUUAUCUUAGACUUCUUCUUGCUACUAUUACUAGUCCUUCAUAAGAUUUUUUCCUCCCAUCAGUAAGCUACAUUGUACAUCGACUGGUGCCGGUCUAAUUUGUAGAUCUACAUAAAAAAAUAAAACUAAUUUACC